Molecule: ribosomal RNA, 274 nt
Filed under: uncultured bacterium
Lineage: Bacteria
Description: partial 16S ribosomal RNA
Rfam family: Bacterial small subunit ribosomal RNA
Source: RNAcentral
AGACGGGGGGGGCUAGCGUUGUUCGGAAUUACUGGGCGUAAAGCGCACGUAGGCGGACCUGUAAGUCGGGGGUGAAAGCCCGAGGCUCAACCUCGGAACUGCCUCCGAUACUACAGGUCUUGAGUCCGAGAGAGGUGAGUGGAAUUCCUAGUGUAGAGGUGAAAUUCGUAGAUAUUAGGAAGAACACCAGUGGCGAAGGCGGCUCACUGGCUCGGUACUGACGCUGAGGUGCGAAAGCGUGGGGAGCAAACAGGAUUAGAUACCCCGGUAGUCC